GACGAACGCUGGUGGCGUGCUUAACACAUGCAAGUCGAACGGAAAGGCCCUGCUUUUGUGGGGUGCUCGAGUGGCGAACGGGUGAGUAACACGUGAGUAACCUGCCCUUGACUUUGGGAUAACUUCAGGAAACUGGGGCUAAUACCGGAUAGGAGCUCCUGCUGCAUGGUGGGGGUUGGAAAGUUUCGGCGGUUGGGGAUGGACUCGCGGCUUAUCAGCUUGUUGGUGGGGUAGUGGCUUACCAAGGCUUUGACGGGUAGCCGGCCUGAGAGGGUGACCGGCCACAUUGGGACUGAGAUACGGCUCAGACUCCUACGGGAGGCAGCAGUGGGGAAUAUUGCACAAUGGGCGGAAGCCUGAUGCAGCAACGCCGCGUGCGGGAUGACGGCCUUCGGGUUGUAAACCGCUUUCGCCUGUGACGAAGCGUGAGUGACGGUAAUGGGUAAAGAAGCACCGGCUAACUACGUG
Molecule: ribosomal RNA, 468 nt
Filed under: uncultured bacterium
Lineage: Bacteria
Description: partial 16S ribosomal RNA
Rfam family: Bacterial small subunit ribosomal RNA
Source: RNAcentral